UUCUGCAUCUGGCAUUAGUUUCAAGGUUGUUCUGAGUACACUCAGUCCUGUGUGGUGGCAGUUAGUGUGGUAAGAGGGGUAAGAGAGGCUGAUAUCAGUUGAGAUGGAACCUUCUGGCCUCAGGGCUUGUGGGGGAGACUGUCUUUUUUUUUUUUUUUUUUUUUUUCAUGUUCAGGAAUUGUUUGUUUUUGAGACGGAGUCUCACUCUGUCUCAGGCUGGAGUGCAGUGGUGCGAUCUUGGCUUACCGCAACCUCAGCCUCCCAGGUUCAGGUGAUUCCCCUGCCUCAGCCUCCUGAGUAGCUGGGACUACAGGUGUGUGCCACCACGCCUAGCUAAUUUUUGUAUUUUUAGUAAAGACGAGGUUACACCAUGUUGGCCAGGCUGGUCUCAAACUCCUGGCCUCAGGUGAUCCACCCACCUCAGCCUCCCAAAGUGCUGGGAUUACAGGUGUUAAGACCACACUUGGCCUGGAAUUUUUCUUUUUAGUGCAUCCAAAAGCGUGGCUAUUCUCUGAGUAAUCAAUUCACACCAGUGAUCCCACCAAGGAUCUGUAACCCAGAGCACCAAAUUGCUCAUUAAAAUAGUAAAGUGUUAAUGUGGACAUUAUCUUGUUACAUUAUUGUCUCAGGUGUGAAACUGAGAUCAGAGGGUUCCUUGGUAAACACAGAAUUGGGAUUUAAGACCAACGCAACAAUGUCUAUGACAUCCAUAGGGAUUUGUGUGUCAAGCUAACCUGAAUAGUUGCUCCAGCUCACCUUCACCAAGACAAUGCAGGAGAUAGCAGUGUCCCACCCUUGUGGGCUUGUGUUUAUCUUCUGUGGACUAAAGAUCCUGGCCUUGAACCCCACCAGACAUAGCUACCAUGUGGCUUGCAGCC
RNAcentral lists this long non-coding RNA (878 nucleotides) under Homo sapiens (human). RNAcentral describes it as "HSALNT0074781". The record is from RNAcentral. Lineage: Eukaryota; Metazoa; Chordata; Mammalia; Primates; Hominidae.